Long non-coding RNA from Cryptomeria japonica (Japanese cedar), 619 nucleotides. RefSeq lists it as uncharacterized. Lineage: Eukaryota; Viridiplantae; Streptophyta; Pinopsida; Cupressales; Cupressaceae. The transcript is spliced from 2 exons. The record is from RefSeq and is a predicted model, not a curated record.
UGGUCAAUAACCUAACCACUGGAGACUUAAAGAAAUAAAUAACCUACAAAUCUUGGAAGACAAGAAACAUGUUAAUAACCUAUUGGCAGAAUUCGAUAGCAAGAUAACAUACUGGAAGCACGUGUACGUGAUUUUUUCAACCUGCCCAUCUGUCCGACGAUUUCUAUUUUGGCUUUUUCUUUGUGAUUCUUUCGACCUGCCCAUCUAUCUGACGAUCUAUGACCUGCAUUUCUCUGUAUCAAAAGUCACCAAAUUGGUGUUUUUGGGGUCAAACUGUUAGGGGGUUUUCAAGAAAGGUCGAGCCAUUCAAAGGCGCAUAAUACGAACUAUAAGUGUGGAAAGGGAACGAAUGCCAGACGAGGCAAAUGUGUAUGUGAGCAACAAGGUUAUGAAGGUUUCAGAGGUGGGCGGACUAGGGUUUGGCAACAAUAGCGUGGGGUUGGAUGGACCAAGGUUUGGUGGCUAUGGCACUGGGAAGAGGCAAGUCUAAAUGAUAUGCAUGAUAUGAAUAUUUUUUCUAUGUAUAACUUAUUAUAGGAAUGGAUUUUUCUAUGUAACGCAUAACAUGAAUUGAUGGUCACUAUAUUUUUUAUAAAAUUAUAAAGGAAUUAGAGUUGAA